RNAcentral lists this long non-coding RNA (1297 nucleotides) under Homo sapiens (human). Its description in RNAcentral is "HSALNT0118864". Lineage: Eukaryota; Metazoa; Chordata; Mammalia; Primates; Hominidae. The record is from RNAcentral.
GCAGGCCCUGGAGGAAAUAAAAGUAUUUUACCCCCAAAUAUACUUUUUUGGCAUCUUUCAAAAUGGCCCUGCAAAGCUGUCUCUCUUUUGCAGACAGUCUCAUAUCUUUUAAGGUCUGAGAAGAGACCUCCACAUCUAUUGUCUCUGAAGCCUGCUACCUGGAGUCUUCGACUACAUGACAAGAACCUUGGCUUCCACAACCCCCACUCUUUACCUUAACUCAAGCUGACUUAACAGACAAAGCUUAACUCUCAACCAGUUGCCAAUUGGGGAAUCUUUGAAUCUGAGGUAGGAGGCGGGACUCAACUCCAGACCAGAUGGAAGACUGGUUAAAAUAGGGAAGAGGCAUUGAAAGCAUCUCUCCACGAGACAGCCCCACCAUUGCUGUGGCAACAUCCGGAAGGUACCACUUCUUUUCUAGGAAUUUCUGGAUAACCCACCCCUUAAUUUGCAUGUAGUUAAAAGUGGGUGUAAAUAUGACUGCAAAACUGCCCCUGAGCUGUGCGCGGAGCACACUGCCUAUGGGUAGUCCUGCUUCGCGAGGAGCAGUACCUCUGCUGCUGUACUCAAUAAAAGAUGCCGUCUAACACCACAGGCCCGCCCUUGAAUUCUUUCUUGGGUGAAGCCAAGAACGUUCCCGGCUAUGCCCCAGUUUUGGGGCUUGCCCACCAUGCAUCAAAUCUACUUAUGACCUGGAAGCCUCCAAACUUCGAGAUGUCCUGCAUUUCCAGAAACACAGUCAUGCUCUGUCGCCUAGGCUGGUCUCAAACACCUAGCUUCAAGCAAUCCUUCCACCUCAGCCUCCCAAAUUGAUGGGAUUACAGGUGUGAGCUACCACACUCAGCCUCUGCUACAUAAUUUAUGUGGAAAAUUCCUCCUUUUUAUUAAUCAAAACCUACACUCAAUAGAUACAUAUUUCUUGGGGAUUUCCAAACUGGAAAUAACCAACACAACUAGGUCAAGCAUCCAUCAUGCACCAUGUACACCACAGUGCACCACAGCUGAGACCAGUGUGGAUCCCACCAUCAGCAGCUUUUCCAAAGGACCCAGGCAAAAUGUGUGGUGUUUCUGAGGGCAUCCUCUUCCACAUUUUUAGCGUAAUCUACCUCGACACACAGAUGCAAUGCUCACAGAGGCCAGAACGCUUCCCAGAAGCAGCCAAGAGUGAGCACUUUCUCAUGGUGUAAAAUAUUCUACCAAAACCUUAUUUCCAAUAGGUGGACAUUGAAGUGGACCUAAUUCGGUUUUCCUUUUAAAAGCCCCCACAAACAAAAGUAGUUUGAAACCUAUUUAAAAU